UGAUGUUGUAUCAUUUCUGUGCUUAUCAUUGAGCACCGAGUGACCUAAGUUAAGGAAUGGCAUGGUGUCAUUGGCAUCAAAUAUGACACACGAGUUUCGGCAUAUUAAAUCUUAUUCAUCUUUCUGGAUUAGUCAAGUAAACAAUGAAGGAGAAUAAAUAAUGGUCCUCUCUGUGAAAGGAAACUAGUAAUCUGAUGGCCGUCUUAUAACUGAAUAAUGUAAAGAAAUUUAUCAAUCCAUCAUCAUAUAGUAAGCUGUUGUUAAUUUAGCUGAUCUUUUUAUCUUUAUGAUAAUGUAGAGUGAGAAGGCAUUGGCCAGUGUGGAUGAUGCUGCCCGUCAAGCAUCCUUGAAGGAAGUGCAGAAGCACAGCAAGAUUUUGCUCGGGCGCUUAUCCCAUGGCAACGGAUGCAUGAAAGCUCUCCUUCUUAUCGGUAUCACAGUGGCUGUGGGUGCUGCUUUUGUCUCAAAGGACUUGCAGUCCCUGGAUCUCAAGAAGCUGUUGGCUGUUGUCUCUAAGGACUUGCAGUCCCUGGAUCUCAAGAAACUUCUGGCUGAUCUCAACUUGGCUUGAUCCUUCCCCUCUAUGUAGAGGAGGGUUGUAAGUCAAUCACCUUACCUUGCUUUGUUAUAUGUCUAAAUUAUGUCCCGGCGCAGAGAAGAUGGCGGCCCAUAACAAAAUGGGUAGAGAUUGAGUUGUUAUAGGAAAAAAUAGAUACACUAAAUAUGAUGCCUAAGUUUGUGGCCUCAUUUUUACAGGGUUUGUGUUUUUUUUUAAGUUUCUAUGAAACAAAACUAUUUAAGUAAUCAAGUUUCGUUGACUGAAUUCUGUUUGGUUUUCCUUUUCCAAACCAUUUUCAAAUGAUUUGAAAUGGUUCUAUGUAUAUGAACGGAAUGGUAAGAUGGCUAUGGUUGAAAAGCUUUCCCUUGACUUUUUAGCUGCUAUUAUGUACAAUGGUUCUCUCAUGAGAACUUGGGCCUUUUCCCUUAUGUACUUUUUCUUAUAGUCUCAUUCAGGAGCGGGAAAGGAAAGAUGAAUUACGCGGUCAUCGAGAUCUUUACAUAAAGUAUAAGCAUUACAAUAAAUUCAAAGCCAUGAACAAAGGGGAUUGACUGAGAAGUAGAGCUAAGCCAUCUAUUCCAAAAACUGUAUCUGCUAGUGCGGCCAAGCUUCUCUAAAUUGAAGUGUUUGGCCAAAGUGUUUUUGAGCAGAAGCAAAAAUUGUUUUGGAGAAGCAGAAAAAAAUCAUCUAUCUCCAAAAGCAUUUUUUUAAAAGUACUUUUGAGAAAAAUACACUUAGUAACACUUUUUAAAGCUUGGUCAAACACUAAUUGCUGCUUAAAAGUGCUUUUCAAAUUAAUUAGCCAAACACAAACUGCUUCUCACCGAAAAUACUUUUAAAAAAAGCAUUUUUGAGCAAAAAACACUUCUCAAAAUAAGCUCAUUUUAGAAGCUUGGCCAAAUAUGCUAUUAGUAGAAAUGACACCAGAUAGCCAUUCUAAAGUGAUGCUAUUUAGGAAUUAGUCAAUGCGUCUUGAAUUUAAAUUUUUUCGUUUAAUUUUUCAGGACACAAAUGUCUUGAAUUGUUUGAAAUUAAGAUUUUUAGUUCAAAAUUUUCGGAACAAAAUAAGUAUUGGCUAAUCCCUAAAUAGCAGCCCUAAAAAUGGCGGUUUGUGCGCUUCUCCCUUUUUUUUGAGUUUUGGUCGUUGUAUUGGGCAAUUUACUUUGUAACUAUUAUUUGUUUGAUUUUUGGUUUCUAAUCUUAUUUUAUUAGUAGCCAUGAUUAGUUUUCUACCCUUAGUUUCUGUUCUCUUUGUUCUAACUAAAGAAUUAACUUUAAGUAGGAGUUUAAGAACUCUACGUUAGAAUGAGUUAGAUUUUAAUGAGCUUUUUGGAUAAUUCAAUAUGAGCGAACUCUAGAAACAUCAUACCAUAUGUAAUGGCUCUUACAUAUAUAUGUUCAGUGGAUUAAUUAGUUGAUUUAAUCAAUAUUUUUUAAAAUUAUUGAGGGUCUCCUAACGGACAUUGAUUUCACCUUGAAAAGCAAAAAAA
This 2049-nucleotide long non-coding RNA is filed under the name Nicotiana tabacum (common tobacco). Its description in RNAcentral is "long non-coding RNA (NTAB_LNC003772)". The record is from RNAcentral. Lineage: Eukaryota; Viridiplantae; Streptophyta; Magnoliopsida; Solanales; Solanaceae.